UACGGGAGGCAGCAGUGGGGAAUAUUGCACAAUGGACGAAAGUCUGAUGCAGCAACGCCGCGUGGAGGAUGACACAUUUCGGUGCGUAAACUCCUUUUAUAUGGGAAGAUAAUGACGGUACCAUAUGAAUAAGCACCGGCUAACUCCGUGCCAGCAGCCGCGGUAA
RNAcentral lists this ribosomal RNA (166 nucleotides) under uncultured bacterium. Its description in RNAcentral is "partial 16S ribosomal RNA". It matches the Rfam family "Bacterial small subunit ribosomal RNA", at positions 340 to 523 of the family's 1533-position model. The record is from RNAcentral.